RNAcentral lists this long non-coding RNA (251 nucleotides) under Homo sapiens (human). Its description in RNAcentral is "non-protein coding lnc-RCC2-1:1". The record is from RNAcentral. Lineage: Eukaryota; Metazoa; Chordata; Mammalia; Primates; Hominidae.
CCGGGACCUCUGUGGGUGAUCGUGGAAGUGAGAGAGGAGAGUCUAAGGAGGUUCUGCUCAUGGCAGAUGACCAGAAUGCAAUAAACCAAGCCAAACCAAGCCCUGCCAAUUUCCUGUCUGACCAAAGCAAGUCAUGUGGCUAAGCCCAACAUCAGUGGGGCAGGGAAGUACACACCACCCACGUGGAACGGAGAGGGAAAUGAACACUGGCUGAACAACAGUCCACACUGUCACAGGGCACAGGAGAAACG